CUGACAUUGCUCCAGAUAGGAAUGCUCACCAAUCUUUGGAGGGCAAGAGGAGGUCUUGUUUCUCCAGUUGAGUUCUGUUCCCCCAGAUGUGAGCAAGACUGGGGCUGCUGAGUGGCCCAUCUCUGGGCCAUGCCCCCAGAUACCACAUGUGCUUCAGAUACAGGCAUGCCACAUGACAGUAUGUGGCACCAACACAAAGGGAAAG
RNAcentral lists this long non-coding RNA (205 nucleotides) under Homo sapiens (human). Its description in RNAcentral is "HSALNT0263802". The record is from RNAcentral. Lineage: Eukaryota; Metazoa; Chordata; Mammalia; Primates; Hominidae.